RNAcentral lists this ribosomal RNA (578 nucleotides) under uncultured bacterium. RNAcentral describes it as "bacterial SSU rRNA". It matches the Rfam family "Bacterial small subunit ribosomal RNA", at positions 336 to 916 of the family's 1533-position model. The record is from RNAcentral.
CUCCUACGGGAGGCAGCAGUGAGGAAUAUUGGUCAAUGGGCGCAAGCCUGAUCCAGCCAUGCCGCGUGAAGGAUGAAGGCCCUAUGGGUUGUAAACUUCUUUUGUACAGGACGAACCAUCUCUACGUGUAGAGAUCUGACGGUACUGUAUGAAUAAGCAACGGCUAACUCCGUGCCAGCAGCCGCGGUAAUACGUAGGAUCCAAGCGUUAUCCGGAAUCAUUGGGUUUAAAGGGUCCGUAGGCGGUCAAGUAAGUCAGUGGUGAAAGCCCAUCGCUCAACGGUGGAACGGCCAUUGAUACUGCUUGACUUGAAUUAUUAGGAAGUAACUAGAAUAUGUAGUGUAGCGGUGAAAUGCUUAGAGAUUACAUGGAAUACCAAUUGCGAAGGCAGGUUACUACUAAUGGAUUGACGCUGAUGGACGAAAGCGUGGGUAGCGAACAGGAUUAGAUACCCUGGUAGUCCACGCCGUAAACGAUGGAUACUAGCUGUUGGGAGCAAUCUCAGUGGCUAAGCGAAAGUGAUAAGUAUCCCACCUGGGGAGUACGUUCGCAAGAAUGAAACUCAAAGGAAUUGACGG